AUUCAGCGGCGGACGGUGAGUAAUGCCGUGGGAAUUCUCGGCCUUGGGUAGGUGGGGGAUAACGUCCGGAAACGGGCGCUAAUACCGCAUACGUCCUACGGGAGAAAGCAGGGGAUCUUCGGACCUUGCGCUAUCAGAUGAGCCCAGGCCGGAUUAGCUUGUUGGUGAGGUAAUGGCUCACCAAGGCGACGAUCCGUAACUGGUCUGAGAGGAAGGUCCCCCACACUGGUACUGAGACACGGACCAGACUCCUACGGGAGGCAGCAGUGAGGAAUAUUGCACAAUGGGGGAAACCCUGAUGCAGCGACGCCGCGUGAACGAUGAAGUAUUUCGGUAUGUAAAGUUCUAUCAGCAGGGAAGAUAAUGACGGUACCUGACUAAGAAGCACCGGCUAAAUACGUG
Molecule: ribosomal RNA, 402 nt
Filed under: uncultured bacterium
Lineage: Bacteria
Description: bacterial SSU rRNA
Rfam family: Bacterial small subunit ribosomal RNA
Source: RNAcentral